CAUGUAGGUGGUUAUGUAAGUCGAGCGUGAAAUCCCUUGGCUCAACCAAGGAACUGCACUCGAAACUGUAUAACUUGAGUUCAGGAGAGGAAAGCGGAAUUCCCGGUGUAAGAGUGAAAUCUGUAGAUAUCGGGAGGAACACCAGUGGCGAAGGCGGCUUUCUGGACUGAUACUGACACUGAAAUGCGAAAGCUAGGGGAACAAACAGGAUUAGAUACCCUGGUAGUC
Molecule: ribosomal RNA, 228 nt
Filed under: uncultured bacterium
Lineage: Bacteria
Description: partial 16S ribosomal RNA
Rfam family: Bacterial small subunit ribosomal RNA
Source: RNAcentral